AAUUUUCGAAUAAUGCACACACCUGCGUUGCACAUUUCAAACCACAUCUGGCUCAUUCUCUUGAGAGCCAUGCGGUGGCCUUCUUGUCUUUUCGCGCCCUGGCGACAAUGAAUGGUACAUGGUGCCAGGCACGCAGCCAUGAGGUCGCCACUGAGUCAUCUGUCUAAUGAAUGGUUGAGAAUGGAAGAAAGAGGAACGAAUCUUUGAAGUGCAGAAC
Molecule: non-coding RNA, 217 nt
Organism: Caenorhabditis elegans
Lineage: Eukaryota; Metazoa; Nematoda; Chromadorea; Rhabditida; Rhabditidae
Source: Ensembl